AUGACCGACCCCCUGACAUCGG
RNAcentral lists this microRNA (22 nucleotides) under Murid betaherpesvirus 1 (Murine cytomegalovirus). RNAcentral's name for it is "mcmv-miR-m88-1-5p". Its record names the gene mcmv-miR-m88-1-5p. The record is from miRBase by way of RNAcentral. Lineage: Duplodnaviria; Heunggongvirae; Peploviricota; Herviviricetes; Herpesvirales; Orthoherpesviridae.